GCUGGACGAACCCCGGCCCCGAGCACCCCACGGCUCGUGCCGUGCAUCACCCCGUGGCUCGGCUGUGACCCUCCCGGGGGGGGCGCUGAAGCCAGCAGCUCCAUUGGGACCAGCCCCGUGUGGCUCGUGGCCACCUGCCCUCGCGUGCCCCAGGCAAAGCUGCUUGGCCCCGGCUCAGCCCGGAGGCUUACGGAGGUGCACGCUGACGGCAGCGGGCACGCAGGUCCCCCCGCCGGUGCCAGGAGGUGUCCCCCCCCCCUGUGACAACGCCUCCGGGUGACACCUCCCUUGUUGUCCUGUCCGGGGGGUUAAACAUUAACAGGGGCUGUGGCCAGGGCAAGGCCAGGGGAGUCACUGGAGGGGAUAAGGGAAGGGUGUUGUUUUGGGAGAAAGCAAUGCUCAGAAAGUGUCCCCACGCUCUGGUUGUCCCUGCGCUGGUCAUCUUCUCCCACCCGGCUGCUCCUCCGGCCCCUCCUCAGCUCCCACUCUUCCUCCCCAGCUGCUUUCUUCGUCUCUCAUGGUCGAGCAGGCGCUUGCUGAGCUGCCCAGUGCAUUUCCCCGUGGAGAGGGCACUUCUUGCAUCUCCUGCCUUCGGUCUGGCCAGGGGAGAGCUGCUGGGGCUGCACCAAGGUGGGCUUCCACCAGCCCUGCUUUCCCCUCGCUGCUUGGGCACACAUGGGAAAGCCUGGGCGAUGGCUCAGCACCAGGACAAGGAACAACGCGCAGCCCGAAGGCUUCGCAAGGGGUUGUGCUCCCGAAGCAAGAAGGAAAAAGAGGGCUCGUAGCCCCAGGCAGAGCAAAGCAGCAGGGGAACCUUCAGCAGCAGCUGUUUUCCAGGCAGAACCGUCCCCCUGCCACCGAGGGCCCUCUGAAGAGCCUCGCUCGCCCGUUUCUGUGGGUGAUACACCCACGUGCUGGGGAGAUUUAGUGCCCGUGAGGAGCGGGAAGAAGAAAGCUGGGAAAGCCCUUGGCUGCCAGGAGAGUGGCAUUGCACAGCAACGGGGAGCGUCUGCCCUAAGGAGCUGGAGCAUCCGGCCUUCCUUGGCAUGCAGGCACAGGGGGGAAGCUUCAUUUGAAAGAAAACAUCCGAGCUCAGCGCCAGGCCAGCUUUGCAGCAUGCAGCAGGCGAGCAGGAGGGAUGCGAGCGGCGGGGAUCAGAGGAAAAGCUCACCCCAGGCGGAGGGGGCCGAGGAGCAAUCCACUGCAUGCCAAUUGCCAGAGUCAUCCCCGCGGUCCUGGAAACCAGCGCUGGGUCCUGGAAACGCUGCUGGAAGAGAGGCUGCACCAUAAAUUUUAAACGUAAGGCAGCCCCGGAGAGGCAAUAAAUACGUUUGCGAGCACA
This 1342-nucleotide long non-coding RNA is filed under the name Anser cygnoides (Swan goose). RNAcentral describes it as "lncRNA (ENSACDG00005018599.1)". The record is from RNAcentral. Lineage: Eukaryota; Metazoa; Chordata; Aves; Anseriformes; Anatidae.